Non-coding RNA from Nelumbo nucifera (sacred lotus), 1047 nucleotides. Lineage: Eukaryota; Viridiplantae; Streptophyta; Magnoliopsida; Proteales; Nelumbonaceae. The record is from RefSeq and is a predicted model, not a curated record.
GAAUGAACUGUUAAAAGCUAGGCUGGAGAGAUCAUAGUAAGGGUGAUCUUUGGCCGGGCUUAGCACCUAGGGUGAGGGAUUUUACAUAGGCAUGGGCCUGGAAGUCUUGGGUCUAACUUGAUCUGCAAAUUCCUGAGCUUGGCUGGGCUCAGAAUCAUCAUCAUAGCCUUAUCCCAACUACAUGGGGUUGGCAGCUACAUGAAUCCUGUUUUGCCAUCCCAUUCUAUUUAAAUGCCAUAUCUGCCUUAUCCCAAUGUUCUAUAGAUAUUCUACAGUAAACAUAUCAUUCAAAUGCAUUCCAAGAUCAGUUAAUGCUAGUGGGUAGAGGCCAGUUGGUUACAUUGGGUGUCCAUCCCACGCUUAAGGGUAAUUGUAUUUUGUUUUUAUAUCAUGCCUUCACUAUUUAUUCUCUUUGAUCCUUAAAGUUUUCUUAUAGAUGUAUAAAAGAACUUCAGCCGCACAGCUCCCUCAGCUUGGUGUAGGUCCACUUCUUGAUAAGAGUGCCUUAGGCGCUCACAGAUAGCGGGACUCCCUCAGAAUCAGGUCCAAUCAUGUUCUGUAACCCUAUGAGUAGUGCCAAUAUUCACAAAGAUCAAAGAUGCUCGUGCCAAUAUUCACAAAGAUCAAAGAUGCUCCUUUUUCCUCCUCUCGCCCUUUUCUGGGUAGUGAGAGGUGGUCUUGUUCUGCCUCAUGCAGGAAAGUUUUGCAAAAUUAGCAAGGUUUGACAAGAGUUGCCAAAUGGUGAAACUGGGAUCGAGGUGGUUGUACUAUUGUGUUUUGUUGGAUGUAGAUCAUCCGAUAUUUGCCAUCUAUGUUAUUUCCAGUCCAAGCAUUCAUUACCCCUGUUGAGGUUACUAAUGCCAUUUGACAACGUACUGUCAUUUGUAAUUGAACUUGUUAUGAUUCCACAUAGGUAUCCCAUUUAUGCUGCACAUUACUUGAAUAAUAUCCUGGUUAUGAAGCUAGGAAGGUGGUAAGAUUCCCUACAUAUUAAUGAUGAAUUGAUGAGCACGCUCAAUGAGAGCGUGCUCAGUGGAUCACCAUUCA